Molecule: non-coding RNA, 2956 nt
Organism: Podarcis lilfordi (Lilford's wall lizard)
Lineage: Eukaryota; Metazoa; Chordata; Lepidosauria; Squamata; Lacertidae
Source: the annotation of a GenBank genome assembly
ACAAAAUACAACACAAAUGUUAUCUAUCUACACAACAUAAAAAUCCAAACAAUUAUAUAAAUGCAAUUAGAGGAGAGAUUAUUUUAGAAGGUCUGGGCCUGAGCCAUUUAGGGCUUUAAAUGUAAGUACCUUGAACUGGCCUGGAAACAAGAAUGUGUUUUCUUGUAUAGCAAAGUUGUUAAAUACAGAACCUGCAAACAUGUACAAUGAGCACCUGGGAUCUCCCUCUGACCCUUGUGAGGAGAGAGGGAAGUUCCAUUGUGCAAGCGGAGAUUUUUGUGCUAGAGCAGGGCUGUUCAGCAUUAGCAGCAGCAGCAGUAGUAGUAGUAAUUAAAUUUGUAUACCAUGCAGCCCUCAAAGCCUUUCUCGGCAGCCCUCAGCAACAUUUGACAACACCCUUCCCCCCUGCAGCCCUUGUGCUGCUUUCCCAAAGGCGGGUAAAGAGGCACUGGGUUUGGGAAGGAGGUGUGAGGGAUCUAGGACCCUGCCAGAGUCUCACACCUAGGGGUGCCAUAUUUCAAACUGAAAAUUGGGACAGAAAAGUUGGUGAGCAAAAUUAGCCGUUCUUGAUCUAUUUUUAUGGGAAAUCGGCAAAAGCAGCACUGCCGACAUGGGCUUCCAUAUGUCCGGAUUUUCCCAGACAUUUUUCCUAUUUCCUACACUGCUGCCAACUGCAGUAUUCCAGAUAUGCCUGAGAAAUCCUGGACAUGUGGCAACCGUACUCAUGCCUCCUUCCCAAAGCCCAGCACUUCACUUAGCCAGCUUUGGGAAGGCAGCACAAGGGCUAGAUGGUGGCAUCAGAUUUCGCCUCUGUUUGAUUCCAUUCCAUAUAUUUUAUUUUACUGUGGAAUAGUUUGCAAAGAGACAGGCACCAUGCUUCAUAAAAAGCAGGUAUUUUUUAAAAAUCCAGGAAAACCAACCAAGCUGUAAUAUAAAGGAUUAAAACAACAGCAACCAUUGAAUGCUAAAUUGUACCUGAAUGUUUAUCUGGUCUAUUAAGUGAUUCCCAUCAGAAUUACUGGUGUCAAAGCUUUGCCCAUGAAAAUGGCCAUCAUAUAACUGAUAAACAGUUCAAUUGAAAGAAUAACAGCACCACGCACUAUAGCUGUAAUUCUCCUUUAAAAUCAAUCGAAAUAAGAGUGUUCUUCUAUAUGGAGGACAUGAUGAUCUAGCAGAGGGGGAAAUCCCAUCUCGGUUGCUUAAGGUUUCUUAUUAAAUCUGGGGGAAAAUAACUGCAUUAUUUUAAUUCAGCUCUGCCCAUUUUCCAGAAGUGCUGCACUUAUUGCAUUAAUCUUCAGAGCGAAGUUUUUACGACUGAUUGCCUGCAGAGUAUGAGAAGUUUCGCCAUCCAUUAACCACAGAGAAACGGGCCCUGCAGGGUAGGAAAAUAUUUGUUACAUCUUAUCAGGGUGACACAUAAUCUAACAACAAUUACAGCAGGCCCAUAUUUUGUACUAUUUCAGUUUCGGUGUGAAAAAUAGUUCUAAUAUUAAACCCGGGGUGGAUGGGAGCUGCAGGAACCAGUUGAAUAUUAUAAGCUCAGCAGUGGUGAUUUCCCUUCAGGUUGUGGGUCUCGUCAUUACUGGGAUACGGCCCUAAGGAAGUGACUACACAUAAAUCCAGUGUACGUGCCCCCUAUGCAAAUGGCACAGUGUGCACUGGCAAAGCAGCUUGAAGGAUGAUUGCAUCCAUAUCAAUAUGAAGUGCUGAAAUUGCAUUCUCCCCAUGCUUGAUGUUUUUGUUAAUGUAAAAGCUUUUCGAGGCACUUCAGGUCACUCUCAUUCUUCCAAAGGUUAAAAAUGCAGAAGAAGUGUUUCAGCCUUACCAAGAGAGAGAGAGAGAGAGAAGCUACAACAAAAGUGCAGGUUACCAUAAAAGGUUUGCAAUAUUAUAUAUUAAUAUGCAAAAUUAAAUUGUUCAAAAUUCGGCUCUGCUAUCCAAAUCCGAUCCUGCAUUUAAGCAUAGCAGGGACAAAAAUUUGUGACAGGUUUGAUUUAUCUUUUAGACAGUAUUCACACACUGGUUUGGAUCCCAACCUCUGUGAGCAAAGAACACUUCCUCUUGCAGACUCCUAGCACAGAAACACACAAAAAAACAAACCCAGAUUGGCACAGACUGGGACAUUUUACUGGCAGAAAUUCAGGACCUCCCCAAAUACAAGCAGAAGUGCCUUUCUGAUCACUUGAAGGCACUUUUGGAAUCCACGCCUAUUGUGUUCAGUGGAGUUUGUAAAGCUGGCUGUUUGGAUAAUAACCAUCUAAACACAGUGGAGGCUGGUUCAUUUGGACAAAUGGGGCACCAACCUUGGUCUGCCUUCAGCCAGUCCACUCCCACCUGCCUUCUCAUCCAGUCUAGGGAGUGGCACUGGCGCCCAGCAUCCUCUUCCUUAGUCCCAGAGCUGUCUCCGUAAUAGCUCAGUAAGGAGGAGGAUGGUGGCAAUACUUGCACUAGUUGGCUCUGCCUAUCAUUGGCUGUGACUCCACCUUGUUGAACUCUCUGCCUUCUGCCCUAUCAAUCCCAAUGAACACUGGCCACCAUGGUCAAAUGCAUUCUACUGCACCCAGGUAGGAUUUUGUUUCACUUGCUCAAUUUGUGCCCUGCCUUUUUUGGUGCAGUAAGGUAAGGCAAAAAGGUAAAGGACCCCUGGAUACUUAAGUCCAGUCAAAGGUGGCUGGGGUGCGGUGCUCAUCUCACUUCAGGCCAAGGGAGCCACUGUUUGUCCACAGACAGCUUUCCGGGUCAUGUGGCCAGCAUGACUAAACUGCUACUGGUGCACGGAGGACUGUGACGAGUGCCAGAGCGCACUGAAACACCCUUUACCUUCCCUCCACAGUGGUACCUAUUUAUCCACUUGCACUGGUGUGCUUUCAAACUGCUAGGUUGGCAGAAGCUGGGACAGAGCAACAGGAGCUCACCCCCUCACGUGGAUUUGAACCACUGACCUGAUCAACAAGCC